CAGAGUUAUCUAACUCCCAAACCCAUGUGAACUUACCAUUUGUUGCCUCGGCAGAGCCUACCCGGUAACUGUUCGGAGAAGCUACCCUGUAACGGCCUACCCUGUAACGUCCUGCCGGUGGACUUUUAAACUCUUGUUAUUUUAUAGUAAUCUGAGCGUCUUAUUUUAAUAAGUCA
Molecule: unclassified non-coding RNA, 176 nt
Filed under: uncultured Discosia
Lineage: Eukaryota; Fungi; Ascomycota; Sordariomycetes; Amphisphaeriales; Amphisphaeriaceae
Description: sequence contains ITS1
Source: RNAcentral